UAACAAGGAUUCCCCUAGUAACUGCGAGUGAAGCGGGAUGAGCUCAAAUUUAAAAUCUGGCGGUCUUCUGGCCGUCCGAGUUGUAGUCUAGAGAAGUGUUAUCCGCGUCGGACCGUGUACAAGUCUCCUGGAAUGGAGCGUCAUAGAGGGUGAGAAUCCCGUCCAUGACACGGACGCCCGAUGCUUUGUGAGGCACUCUCGAAGAGUCGAGUUGUUUGGGAAUGCAGCUCAAAAUGGGUGGUAAAUUCCAUCUAAAGCUAAAUAUUGGCGAGAGACCGAUAGCGAACAAGUACCGUGAGGGAAAGAUGAAAAGCACUUUGGAAAGAGAGUUAAACAGUACGUGAAAUUGUUGAAAGGGAAACGCUUGAAGUCAGUCGCGUCCCGCGGAACUCAGCCUGGUUUCGGCCUGGUGUACUUUCCAUGGGACGGGUCAACAUCAGUUUCGGUCGGUGGAAAAAGGCGAGGGGAAUGUAGCGCCGCUUCGGUGGCGUGUUAUAGCCUCUCGUCGCAUACACUGACCGGGACUGAGGAUCGCAACACGCCCUUGUGGCCGGGGGUUCGCCUCACGUAACGUGCUUAGGAUGUUGGCAUAAUGGCUUUAAGCGACCCGUCUUGAAACACGGACCAAGGAGUCUAACAUGCUUGCGAGUGUUCGGGUGGAAAACCCUUGCGCGUAAUGAAAGUGAAAGUUGGGAACCUCCGCGAGGGGGUGCACCGACGCCCGGCCCUGACGUUCUCUGACGGUGCUGCGGUAGAGCAAGUAUGUUGGGACCCGAAAGAUGGUGAACUAUGCCUGAAUAGGGCGAAGCCAGAGGAAACUCUGGUGGAGGCUCGUAGCGAUUCUGACGUGCAAAUCGAUCGUCAAAUUUGGG
RNAcentral lists this ribosomal RNA (872 nucleotides) under Rigidonotus pruinosus. RNAcentral describes it as "eukaryotic LSU rRNA". It matches the Rfam family "Eukaryotic large subunit ribosomal RNA", at positions 66 to 915 of the family's 3401-position model. Lineage: Eukaryota; Fungi; Basidiomycota; Agaricomycetes; Hymenochaetales; Hymenochaetaceae. The record is from RNAcentral.